GACGAACGCUGGCGGCGUGCCUAACACAUGCAAGUCGAACGGAAACGCCUUACUUUUGUGGGGUGCUCGAGGGGCGAACGGGUGAGUAACACGUGAGUAUCGGGCUCUACUUUUUGGGAUAGCAUCACGAAACUGGGGUUAAUACAGGACAGCAGCUCAUGCAGCAUGGUAAGCGGGGGAUAGUUGCGGCGGUUGGGGAUGGACGCGCGGCUGAUCAGCUUGUUGGUGGGGUGGUGGCUUACCAAGGCAUGGACGGGUCGCCGGCCUGAGAGGGUGACCGGGCACAUUGGGACUGAGGUACGGCGCAGACUCGAACGGGAGGCAGCGGUGGGAAAUAUUGCCCAGUGGGCGGAAGCGUGAUGCAGCGACGCUGCGUGCGGGAUGACGGUCUGUGGGUAGUAAACCGCUGUAGCUUGUGACGAAGCGGGAGUGACGGUAAUGAGUGAAGAAGCACCGGCUAACUACGUG
RNAcentral lists this ribosomal RNA (468 nucleotides) under uncultured bacterium. RNAcentral's name for it is "partial 16S ribosomal RNA". It matches the Rfam family "Bacterial small subunit ribosomal RNA", at positions 28 to 507 of the family's 1533-position model. The record is from RNAcentral.